CGGGACACGUGGUAUCCUGUCUGAAUAUGGGGGGACCAUCCUCCAAGGCUAAAUACUCCUGACUGACCGAUAGUGAACCAGUACCGUGAGGGAAAGGCGAAAAGAACCCCGGCGAGGGGAGUGAAAAAGAACCUGAAACCGUGUACGUACAAGCAGUGGGAGCACGCUUAGGCGUGUGACUGCGUACCUUUUGUAUAAUGGGUCAGCGACUUAUAUUCUGUAGCAAGGUUAACCGAAUAGGGGAGCCGAAGGGAAACCGAGUCUUAACUGGGCGUUAAGUUGCAGGGUAUAGACCCGAAACCCGGUGAUCUAGCCAUGGGCAGGUUGAAGGUUGGGUAACACUAACUGGAGGACCGAACCGACUAAUGUUGAAAAAUUAGCGGAUGACUUGUGGCUGGGGGUGAAAGGCCAAUCAAACCGGGAGAUAGCUGGUUCUCCCCGAAAGCUAUUUAGGUAGCGCCUCGUGAAUUCAUCUCCGGGGGUAGAGCACUGUUUCGGCAAGGGGGUCAUCCCGACUUACCAACCCGAUGCAAACUGCGAAUACCGGAGAAUGUUAUCACGGGAGACACACGGCGGGUGCUAACGUCCGUCGUGAAGAGGGAAACAACCCAGACCGCCAGCUAAGGUCCCAAAGUCAUGGUUAAGUGGGAAACGAUGUGGGAAGGCCCAGACAGCCAGGAUGUUGGCUUAGAAGCAGCCAUCAUUUAAAGAAAGCGUAAUAGCUCACUGGUCGAGUCGGCCUGCGCGGAAGAUGUAACGGGGCUAAACCAUGCACCGAAGCUGCGGCAGCGACGCUGAUGCGUUGUUGGGUAGGGGAGCGUUCUGUAAGCCUGUGAAGGUGUGCUGUGAGGCAUGCUGGAGGUAUCAGAAGUGCGAAUGCUGACAUAAGUAACGAUAAAGCGGGUGAAAAGCCCGCUCGCCGGAAGACCAAGGGUUCCUGUCCAACGUUAAUCGGGGCAGGGUGAGUCGACCCCUAAGGCGAGGCCGAAAGGCGUAGUCGAUGGGAAACAGGUUAAUAUUCCUGUACUUGGUGUUACUGCGAAGGGGGGACGGAGAAGGCUAUGUUGGCCGGGCGACGGUUGUCCCGGUUUAAGCGUGUAGGCUGGUUUUCCAGGCAAAUCCGGAAAAUCAAGGCUGAGGCGUGAUGACGAGGCACUACGGUGCUGAAGCAACAAAUGCCCUGCUUCCAGGAAAAGCCUCUAAGCAUCAGGUAACAUCAAAUCGUACCCCAAACCGACACAGGUGGUCAGGUAGAGAAUACCAAGGCGCUUGAGAGAACUCGGGUGAAGGAACUAGGCAAAAUGGUGCCGUAACUUCGGGAGAAGGCACGCUGAUAUGUAGGUGAAGCGACUUGCUCGUGGAGCUGAAAUCAGUCGAAGAUACCAGCUGGCUGCAACUGUUUAUUAAAAACACAGCACUGUGCAAACACGAAAGUGGACGUAUACGGUGUGACGCCUGCCCGGUGCCGGAAGGUUAAUUGAUGGGGUCAGCGCAAGCGAAGCUCUUGAUCGAAGCCCCGGUAAACGGCGGCCGUAACUAUAACGGUCCUAAGGUAGCGAAAUUCCUUGUCGGGUAAGUUCCGACCUGCACGAAUGGCGUAAUGAUGGCCAGGCUGUCUCCACCCGAGACUCAGUGAAAUUGAACUCGCUGUGAAGAUGCAGUGUACCCGCGGCAAGACGGAAAGACCCCGUGAACCUUUACUAUAGCUUGACACUGAACAUUGAGCCUUGAUGUGUAGGAUAGGUGGGAGGCUUUGAAGUGUGGACGCCAGUCUGCAUGGAGCCGGCCUUGAAAUACCACCCUUUAAUGUUUGAUGUUCUAACGUUGACCCGUGAUCCGGGUUGCGGACAGUGUCUGGUGGGUAGUUUGACUGGGGCGGUCUCCUCCUAAAGAGUAACGGAGGAGCACGAAGGUUGGCUAAUCCUGGUCGGACAUCAGGAGGUUAGUGCAAUGGCAUAAGCCAGCUUGACUGCGAGCGUGACGGCGCGAGCAGGUGCGAAAGCAGGUCAUAGUGAUCCGGUGGUUCUGAAUGGAAGGGCCAUCGCUCAACGGAUAAAAGGUACUCCGGGGAUAACAGGCUGAUACCGCCCAAGAGUUCAUAUCGACGGCGGUGUUUGGCACCUCGAUGUCGGCUCAUCACAUCCUGGGGCUGAAGUAGGUCCCAAGGGUAUGGCUGUUCGCCAUUUAAAGUGGUACGCGAGCUGGGUUUAGAACGUCGUGAGACAGUUCGGUCCCUAUCUGCCGUGGGCGCUGGAGAACUGAGGGGGGCUGCUCCUAGUACGAGAGGACCGGAGUGGACGCAUCACUGGUGUUCGGGUUGUCAUGCCAAUGGCACUGCCCGGUAGCUAAAUGCGGAAGAGAUAAGUGCUGAAAGCAUCUAAGCACGAAACUUGCCCCGAGAUGAGUUCUCCCUGACUCCUUGAGAGUCCUGAAGGAACGUUGAAGACGACGACGUUGAUAGGCCGGGUGUGUAAGCGCAGCGAUGCGUUGAGCUAACCGGUA
This 2502-nucleotide ribosomal RNA is filed under the name Escherichia coli. RNAcentral describes it as "partial 23S ribosomal RNA". It matches the Rfam family "Bacterial large subunit ribosomal RNA", at positions 418 to 2900 of the family's 2925-position model. Lineage: Bacteria; Pseudomonadati; Pseudomonadota; Gammaproteobacteria; Enterobacterales; Enterobacteriaceae. The record is from RNAcentral.